ACUCCUGCGGGAGGCAGCAGUGGGGAAUUUUGGACAAUGGGCGAAAGCCUGAUCCAGCCAUGCCGCGUGCAGGAUGAAGGCCUUCGGGUUGUAAACUGCUUUUGUACGGAACGAAACGGCCUUUUCUAAUAAAGAGGGCUAAUGACGGUACCGUAAGAAUAAGCACCGGCUAACUACGUGCCAGCAGCCGCGGUAAUACGUAGGGUGCAAGCGUUAAUCGGAAUUACUGGGCGUAAAGCGUGCGCAGGCGGUUAUGUAAGACAGUUGUGAAAUCCCCGGGCUCAACCUGGGAACUGCAUCUGUGACUGCAUAGCGAGAGUACGGUAGAGGGGGAUGGAAUUCCGCGUGUAGCAGUGAAAUGCGUAGAUAUGCGGAGGAACACCGAUGGCGAAGGCAAUCCCCUGGACCUGUACUGACGCUCAUGCACGAAAGCGUGGGGAGCAAACAGGAUUAGAUACCCCAGUAGUCCCAUG
Molecule: ribosomal RNA, 473 nt
Filed under: uncultured organism
Description: partial 16S ribosomal RNA
Rfam family: Bacterial small subunit ribosomal RNA
Source: RNAcentral